AGACCCGAAACCCGGUGAUCUAGCCAUGGGCAGGUUGAAGGUUGGGUAACACUAACUGGAGGACCGAACCGACUAAUGUUGAAAAAUUAGCGGAUGACCUGUGGCUGGGGGUGAAAGGCCAAUCAAACCGGGAGAUAGCUGGUUCUCCCCGAAAGCUAUUUAGGUAGCGCCUCGUGAAUUCAUCUCCGGGGGUAGAGCACUGUUUCGGCUAGGGGGCCAUCCCGGCUUACCAACCCGAUGCAAACUGCGAAUACCGGAGAAUGUUAUCACGGGAGACACACGGCGGGUGCUAACGUCCGUCGUGAAGAGGGAAACAACCCAGACCGCCAGCUAAGGUCCCAAAGUCAUGGUUAAGUGGGAAACGAUGUGGGAAGGCCCAGACAGCCAGGAUGUUGGCUUAGAAGCAGCCAUCAUUUAAAGAAAGCGUAAUAGCUCACUGGUCGAGUCGGCCUGCGCGGAAGAUGUAACGGGGCUAAACCAUGCACCGAAGCUGCGGCAGCGACGCUGAUGCGUUGUUGGGUAGGGGAGCGUUCUGUAAGCCUGCGAAGGUGGCCUGUGAGGGUUGCUGGAGGUAUCAGAAGUGCGAAUGCUGACAUAAGUAACGAUAAAGCGGGUGAAAAGCCCGCUCGCCGGAAGACCAAGGGUUCCUGUCCAACGUUAAUCGGGGCAGGGUGAGUCGACCCCUAAGGCGAGGCCGAAAGGCGUAGUCGAUGGGAAACGGGUUAAUAUUCCCGUACUUGGUGUUACUGCGAAGGGGGGACGGAGAAGGCUAUGUUGGCCGGGCGACGGUUGUCCCGGUUUAAGCGUGUAGGUGUGUGUUCCAGGUAAAUCCGGUUCACUUUAACACUGAGGCGUGAUGACGAGGCACUACGGUGCUGAAGCAACAAAUGCCCUGCUUCCAGGAAAAGCCUCUAAGCAUCAGGUAACAUCAAAUCGUACCCCAAACCGACACAGGUGGUCAGGUAGAGAAUACCAAGGCGCUUGAGAGAACUCGGGUGAAGGAACUAGGCAAAAUGGUGCCGUAACUUCGGGAGAAGGCACGCUGACACGUAGGUGAAGUGAUU
This 1064-nucleotide ribosomal RNA is filed under the name Salmonella enterica. Its description in RNAcentral is "partial 23S ribosomal RNA". It matches the Rfam family "Bacterial large subunit ribosomal RNA", at positions 711 to 1767 of the family's 2925-position model. The record is from RNAcentral. RNAcentral also lists the same sequence under 1 other name. Lineage: Bacteria; Pseudomonadati; Pseudomonadota; Gammaproteobacteria; Enterobacterales; Enterobacteriaceae.